GUCAAGGACCCGCCGCUAAAUCUUUGUAGAUUCUAGCGGAGGCUUGGAAACAAGCCCACAUUGACCAGCCCACCCACGGGUAAACGAUAUCAAGGUCACGACACCCCAGGAUGCGUGCCAGUUCUGGGCAACUGUCGCUCAAAAUUAAACAGUAAGGACGGGAACCAAGCAGUGUUUUGAGCCGAACAAGCCAUGAUAUCCGGGCGAGGCAAACUUUAC
Molecule: non-coding RNA, 219 nt
Organism: Nostoc calcicola FACHB-389
Lineage: Bacteria; Bacillati; Cyanobacteriota; Cyanophyceae; Nostocales; Nostocaceae
Source: Rfam